This 450-nucleotide ribosomal RNA is filed under the name uncultured Glomus. RNAcentral describes it as "SSU rRNA". It matches the Rfam family "Eukaryotic small subunit ribosomal RNA", at positions 569 to 1025 of the family's 1831-position model. The record is from RNAcentral. Lineage: Eukaryota; Fungi; Glomeromycota; Glomeromycetes; Glomerales; Glomeraceae.
AGCAGCCGCGGUAAUUCCAGCUCCAAUAGCGUAUAUUAAAGUUGUUGCAGUUAAAAAGCUCGUAGUUGAAUUUCGGGAUCAAUACGUCGGUCGUGCCUCGGUACGUACUAACGUCAUUGAUUUCUCCCUUCUGACUAGCCGUGAUGUCAUUAAUUUGGUGUUACGGGGAGUCAGGACUGUUACUUUGAAAAAUUAGAGUGUUUAAAGCAGGCAAUCGCUCGAAUACAUUAGCAUGGAAUAAUGAAAUAGGACGUUCGAACCUAUUUUGUUGGUUUCUAGGAUCGACGUAAUGAUUAAUAGGGAUAGUUGGGGGCAUUAGUAUUCAAUUGUCAGAGGUGAAAUUCUUGGAUUUAUUGAAGACUAACUACUGCGAAAGCAUUUGCCAAGGAUGUUUUCAUUAAUCAAGAACGAAAGUUAGGGGAUCGAAGACGAUCAGAUACCGUCGUAGUC